RNAcentral lists this unclassified non-coding RNA (345 nucleotides) under soil metagenome. RNAcentral's name for it is "partial contains 5.8S ribosomal RNA, internal transcribed spacer 2, and large subunit ribosomal RNA". The stretch from base 1 to 120 matches the Rfam family "5.8S ribosomal RNA", at positions 35 to 154 of the family's 154-position model. The record is from RNAcentral.
GAUGAAGAACGUAGCGAAAUGCGAUACGUAAUGUGAAUUGCAGAAUUCAGUGAAUCAUCGAGUCUUUGAACGCACAUUGCGCCCCCUGGUAUUCCGGGGGGCAUGCCUGUCCGAGCGUCAUUGCUGCCCUCAAGCACGGCUUGUGUGUUGGGCCUCCGUCCUCCUCCCGGGGGACGGGCCCGAAAGGCAGCGGGGGCACCGCGUCCGGUCCUCGAGCGUAUGGGGCUUCGUCACCCGCUCUUGUAGGCCCGGCCGGCGCUUGCCGACACAUCAAUCUUUUUUCCAGGUUGACCUCGGAUCAGGUAGGGAUACCCGCUGAACUUAAGCAUAUCAAUAAGCGGAGGA